CUGCGCUUCGUCAUAUUCUCCCGGCUGCAAUGGACGCUAAGAUUGGGAAGUUCUUUGAUUCGGUCGGUGCCUUCUUCAGUGGCGGAGACCAAAUCCCUUGGUGUGAUGGGGACAUCAUCGCUGACUGAUGGCAUGAUAGUAUGGCUCCACUGGAAGGGUUGUCCAUUCCUCUUCCUCCAACUACUGGCUGUUAUGAUAAAGCUUCAAGUCCAUCUAUUCAUCCUUUCAGAACCUCGUCCAUCUCUGACUGGAGAAAAUCUAUUGCUCAUGAAAGUCUUAUGUUGCCUCAUUAAACUUUUCUAUCCUGAUCCGCCGUUGUUUCCCACCAAGCACCACAGACACUAUAUAAUAAAAGCACGGAUCGUCUUUUUUGGACUUGGUGGUGCCAAUGCAUUUCAUGAAUCAAUGAAUCAAAUGGUUGAGUUGUGAGGCUCAUUUGCACUAGGUAUAAUGGUCACCUCUCUCAAGUUUGAUUGUAAUUAUUGUGUUACCGAUUUCCUAAGGGCAAUUGCAUUGGUAUCUUCUCUGUAUUCUGUAUUUUAGUAAAUGUGUUUAAUGUAGGAAAGCUAGGCUGCAAGAGAACAAUGCUAAGUCACCUACAGCAGAUCAGAAUUUAGAAAUUACAACAUUUUAAGAAUUCAUGGACCUGUUGACACAAUUGAAGGGAGAUCCUUGAGGGUUGUUUAUAUGCCAAAAAUUUCUGAGAUCCUUGAGGGUUGUUUAUAUGCCAAAAAUUUCUGAAAAAUCUACUGAAAUAUCGCUGGACAGAAUAACACUUGAAGAACAAAAGAAAAGAAGAAGGGGAUGGGGACUAUCUCAGUCUAGGGUCUCUCACCCACAGCCUCUCACAGCCACUGCAUCUUACAGCUUCCAAGCCAAAGCUUUCUCCUUUUUUCUUAAGCUCAAAUAUGUUGGGGAAUAGUCCCCUUUCCUAUAUUUAUAAUAAUGGAACUCAAUUACAAAACCAAUGGGGAAGAACCUCCCAUACACAAGCCGUGGUAAAGCUGCCAAAGCCAAAACAAAUCCCUCAAAAGUAGAAACCAAAUAAAAUAGAAACUUCUACUUUCUAAAACUUAAGACUGGGGAUAGAAACUAAAUCUAACUAUUGCUAUUACAUGAAUAAGAACAAAGAAAAUAGAAAGUAGAUAGUGUCUAAAAAAAUCUCGGCAAUCAAUCUUCCUUGCAAGUUGGCAUGUGCCCCACAAAAUUCUGGAAAAAUCUUCGACAGUUCUCAUGUAAGCUGUCAAAUAUAUUCUUAAAAAUACUUCUGGUCUAUGGUUAUUCUGGGGCAGAAACAAAGCUGGACCAGUGGACUUUAUUAUAUUUGCAUCCAACACCUGGGCCACUUGGCUCUUUACAAAAACAACAACCGUAACUUUAUCCAAACUUAAUGGGGUCGGCUACACAGAUCCAAUACAUAUCAAAGUAAAAGAAAAGCAGAGUAAAAGAAGUGCAAACUGAACUAAAAGGCAAU
Molecule: long non-coding RNA, 1474 nt
Organism: Macadamia integrifolia
Lineage: Eukaryota; Viridiplantae; Streptophyta; Magnoliopsida; Proteales; Proteaceae
Exons: 3
Source: RefSeq, a predicted model, not a curated record